GUCGAACGGACUCAUAUUGAAACCUAGUGAUGUAUGAGUUAGUGGCGGACGGGCGAGUAACGCGUGGAGAACCUGCCGUAUACUGGGGGAUAACACUUAGAAAUAGGUGCUAAUACCGCAUAAGCGCACAGCUUCGCAUGAAGCAGUGUGAAAAACUCCGGCGGUAUACGAUGGAUCCGCGUCUGAUUAGCUUGUUGGCGGGGUAAAGGCCCACCAAGGCGACGAUCAGUAGCCGGCCUGAGAGGGUGAACGGCCACAUUGGGACUGAGACACGGCCCAAACUCCUACGGGAGGCAGCAGUGGGGAAUAUUGCACAAUGGGGGAAACCCUGAUGCAGCGACGCCGCGUGAGUGAAGAAGUAUUUCGGUACGUAAAGCUCUAUCAGCAGGGAAGAAAAUGACGGUACCUGACUAAGAAGCCCCGGCUAACUACGUGCCAGCAGCCGCGGUAAUACGUAGGGGGCAAGCGUUAUCCGGAUUUACUGGGUGUAAAGGGAGCGUAGACGGCAGCGCAAGUCUGGAGUGAAAUCCCAUGGCUUAACCAUGGAACUGCUUUGGAAACUGUGCAGCUGGAGUGCAGGAGAGGUAAGCGGAAUUCCUAGUGUAGCGGUGAAAUGCGUAGAUAUUAGGAGGAACACCAGUGGCGAAGGCGGCUUACUGGACUGUAACUGACGUUGAGGCUCGAAAGCGUGGGGAGCAAACAGGAUUAGAUACCCUGGUAGUCCACGCUGUAAACGAUGAUUACUAGGUGUUGGGGGACCAAGGUCCUUCGGUGCCGUCGCAAACGCAUUAAGUAAUCCACCUGGGGAGUA
Molecule: ribosomal RNA, 811 nt
Filed under: uncultured bacterium
Lineage: Bacteria
Description: bacterial SSU rRNA
Rfam family: Bacterial small subunit ribosomal RNA
Source: RNAcentral